UUGUGGCAAUCCUCCUGCCUCAGCCUCCUGAGUGCUGAGAUUAUAUGCACGUGACACCACUCCCAGCAAGCUCUCUUAAUCUCCUUCCUGUUGGGUGGGAAUAAUUAUACUGCCCAUUCCUACUAGAGCAUUAUGACAAGAAUGGUGUGUCAUGUAUAUAGAAGCACUCAGUAAAUGGCUGGCAUAAUGUUAUUUUCAUUAACUGUUAAUAUGAUAACUUUCCCUAUUUGUUAUCUUGGUUAUUCUGGGGUUUUUUUUGUUCACUUGUUUUGAUUUUCAGUACUGGGGCUCAAACCCCGGGGGAGUUUUACUACUGAGCUAUAUCCCCAGCCCUUUUUAUUUCUAACUUUUACUUAUUUAGCAAUACUGGGGAUUGAACCUAGGGCCUUCACAUUGAGUAACAUCCCCAACCCUUCUAAAAUUUUUAAUUUUGAGACAGAAUUUCACUAAAUCAGUAAGUUGCCCAGGCUGGGCUUCAGCUUGUGAUCCUCCUGCCUCAGCCUCUCAGAACGCUGGGAUUACAGACAGGGUCCACCAAGUCAGGCUUUACUUAUUUUGAAACAAGGUUUUGGUAAAUUGCCCAGGCAGCACUAAAAUUUUCUAUCCUCCUCCCUCAUCUUCCCUGGGCGCUAGGAUUAGAUUUGCACACCCGCACCGGGUUUAAUUAUUCAUCUUUGUAUAACUCCUUCGGAAAACUCUGCCUUACACAGUACGUAUGCAGGCUCAUUGGUUGGUGAAGGCCUUGCUGCUUUGGGAGGCAGCAUCUUCAUCUACACAGGUUAUUCAGCAAGGAGGAUGAAAAGGAACGCUGGUGUCCACAUCCCGGUCUCCGGCGAGGUCCUGAGCAGGAUUCUGGGUGGCCAGAGGAAGGGACUGGGCCUGCUCAACCGUUGCCAUGGUAACCGCAGUCCCAGCUCCAGGACCUCCCUAACAAGGGGGCGGGGUCUCGGAAGCCAAUCACUCCUGAGGGCUUCGCGUGCCUCGGUCGCUUCCCGCCUUGCGACAUCCCCAGUUACCAGGCAGGCGCUGCUCCAUAAGGCCACGAGAUGGCGACGCGGAGCCAAAUUCCGCGCCCCACCAGGGAGGUGCUGGGGUAGAACCCGUCGGUCGGGCCUCUGGGUUGUGCUCUCCUGCCCCUAUCAGGGGAGGUCUUUGCUGCCAGCCUGGGAGCCGCCGGCCCGAGAAUGGACUUUCCGCUACUCACCAUGCAGUGCUUGCUCUAAGCGGAAGACCACGCUAAGUCAUUAAUGGGGCGGAAGGCUGCAGGCUGAAGCCACAUCUACAGCAAGGCUGCCCAAGGUCACACAGCUGGAAAUCCUGGCACAGUCAGGAACCAGG
Molecule: long non-coding RNA, 1338 nt
Organism: Heterocephalus glaber (naked mole-rat)
Lineage: Eukaryota; Metazoa; Chordata; Mammalia; Rodentia; Bathyergidae
Source: Ensembl